This 3149-nucleotide long non-coding RNA is filed under the name Nicotiana tabacum (common tobacco). RNAcentral describes it as "long non-coding RNA (NTAB_LNC017961)". The record is from RNAcentral. Lineage: Eukaryota; Viridiplantae; Streptophyta; Magnoliopsida; Solanales; Solanaceae.
UAAAACUAUACAAAAACCUAGACCCUUAGACUUAGAGGAGGAGCCGUUUUUUGCAAGGGGGUACCCUUCAUCUUCCUAAGAAUUAACAUAUACACAAAAAACAAGAUCUCAAAAAAGGAUUCUAACCUAGACUCUAGAGGACCCGCCGCUGACACCCAUGAGCAACCCCCAUCUUCCUCUCUAAUACAAAAUAGCCCCGUAUUCCUUUUAUCACUAGGACCCUUCAACCAAACAGUCGUUUUCUAAUUUUGAGAGGAGACCUAAUGUAUCUUCUACACAAGACCUAACCUAGAAACCCUAGGAGCCCUCUCCUUCUUUUUCCUAAGAACAAACCAGCCGCAGGACCCUAGUAAAAAAGAACCCCCAGCCUUUUACCAUCUUCUUCUGCUGAGACCAAAAAAAAGACUUAGAGCAGCUAACACACACAAAGAGAACAGCCGCAACCCCACCAAAUCUCCGUCGAACCCCCACCUCCUUCGACCACUCCAGCCACCACCAAGGCUCGCCGGAAAUUAGCCACCCACCCGAAGAGAGAACAACGAACCAGCCUUAAUCUCUAACCUUCAGCAGCCAGAACCCCCCGCCGUUCAGAACUCGAUAGACGUCCAGCUCAAUCCUCCUUGUUCCAUCGUCUUCUCCAGUGAAGAGCCUCACCCCACCUCCUUCAGAAAAUCGAACCAGCCACCCCACCAUCUCCAAGAACUCCUCUGUCACUCUCACUUCAAUAAAUCUUUCUCCAUCUCUUAACAGACGCGCACACAAAAGGGCAAAGAAAAAAACAGAACAGAGAGGGAGAGGGAUUGGACGUGACAGUGAGGGAAAAGAGAUUCAAAAAACAAAAGAACAAAAAUGGAGAUUAUCACCUGAUUUCCUGUAAAACAUUCAUUACUGAAGGUGCACCUUCUUUUUAUAUAUGAUGAUUCAACAAUAUCUUGGUUUUGGUUUGUUUUCUUUAGUUGAAUAUUUAUUGGUUUUGAUUAGUUGUUCUUAUGUUUAGAACAUGUGCUAAUUUGAAUGAGAUUUUGUUGUUUGAGUGUUAUCAGUGAUUUUAAUGCAUUAUCCUCCAUUAUUGUGCUUAUAAUUUUAUAGUGUUGUGCCAAACGUGGACUUUAAAGUUAAUUAAAUUGGGUCAUAUAAGUCAAUACAUGGUUUACUAGGCAUGUUUAGGGUCUACGUCUUAUAUUGAUACAAAAUAAUAGGAUUUAGCUAUAAUAUCCCUUUCGUUUGCUUCAUUCUUUUCGAUUGGUUAUUUGACAUUUUAAUUUCUUUUGUUUCAGUUAUUCUCAUCCAGAUCUUUCACUUAUUAGAUAUUUGGGAUCAAACAAGCUGUUGAAAUAUUUUAUUUUAUUGCAGUAUAUGUUCUAGUUUUAUGUUUCUUGCUAAUUCUUGGCACAAUUUUUUCUUUUAUGUAUUUGAUUUACUACUUUGUUUGGCCGUGCUGCUAAGAAAGUGACACUUAGUGUCUUUGGAUUAUUUUUGAGUACUAACAAAAUCCCAAGCAAGAGCACUUAGAUAUUAGUCCGUCACUGUUCCAAAAAUUGACCCAUUUUUUUACAUUAAUUUCCGUAAGUCAUGGCCUCGCCGUAAUCUCAAACAUUAGGAAGAAUCAUGAACACAAUAUUAUGUUUUAGGCACGCUCUUAAUUCAUUAAAUUAUAGUGAUUAUGUACAUGUUCGCGUGACAUAAUUACGAUUUUUAAAAUUAAAACCAAGGAAUGCGUUCGCGCAAACUUAGGUAAAACAAUCUUAAUUAAUAAAGCGUGAUUAAUUGUGUACACGUACGCGUGACAUGAUUCUUGACGCGCCAAACGAAAUGAGUACACGUACGCGUGACUCGUUUUAAGAUAAUUCCAUAAUUAUGAAUAAUCAAGCAAUUAAAAGCGGUUAAGAGGGGUGAAAGCACAUAGGUUCUAAAAUGAGUAGGUAAACAAUUUUAAUAAGUCAGGUAUGAUCAAAGUGACCGUGCUAGAACCACGAAACUCGGGAAUGCCUAACACCUUUUUCCGGGUUAAUAGAAUUCCUUACUCGGAUUUCUGUGUUCACAGACCAUAAAUAAGAAUCAACUUCCUUGAUUCGGAAUUUUAAAUCUGUGACUUGGGAUACCAAAAUUAUCCCAAGUGGCGACUCUGAAUUUAAUAUAAAUAAUUCCGUUUUGAUUGUCACUUAAAUUGGAAAAAAUUCCCUUAUACCCUUUUCGGGGUGGUAAAAAGGAGGUAUGACACCUAUUGAGCGUGAGUGCUGAGUGUCAGCGUUGAUUGAUACGAGUUGAGUCAUGAGUGACUGAGAGGCUUGCACGAUGGGCUAUAUAUACAUGUAUACGAGUGAUGCUUUGCCUAAUGGGCAUGUUUAUGAACUUACUGGUUUCACUACUCCUUAAAGUAGGUUUCUAUUGAAUAUGUUGAUCUAAUUACUGAUUUCACUCAUAUUUCGACCGAGCCUCUAUUAAAAUGUUAAACAAAUAUUUUUAAACGACUUUCCUUAAACUAAAGUUUUUACCAGGUAUUUGGAUUUAGUCACUGAUUUGGCUGUAUACUUCCAGUGAAAUUUUUAAGUUACGAAAUGGUUAUAAAUUUCUGUUUGCCCGAAGGGCUGUAUACGAAUUAUGUUUUAGCUGAGGGGCCGAUUAUGAUUUUCACCACUUUCACUAUAAAUUUCACUGAACUUCUAUUGAAAACUAUUAGAAAGGCAUUUUAAAGGAUUUUUCCCGAAACGAGAGUCGAACGAGAUGAUUUGAUUUGUAUCCUGUUUUGGAAACAUGUGGUAUCCUCUGUGGUGCCAUGAUGUGGUUUACGUGAUUUCUUACUGCCCAGACUUUAUUUACUUUUAUUACUUAUUGAGUUGGCGUACUCAUUACUCCAUGCACUUUGUAUGCAGAUUUAGGUAUUUCUGAGCUCGGUGGCAGGUUCAUCGGAGUUAACAAGGUUGCUGUCUGGCGAUCGCAGCCCUGCUUUUCUCCCUCCUUAUUCUUCCUUAUGUAUUCUUGUGGUUUUCCCGACCAUAUUGGUCUUGAUAUUGUUAGACAGUUGUAGUAGAUGCUCAUGACUAGUGACACCCCGAUGCCGGGCUUGUGUAUUUAUUCCGCACUAUUUUUUUAAAUUUUCAUCAUGAGAUUAUUGAUUAAUAAAUAGUUUAAAAAUAACUUUUAUUGAA